UGGCAAGUUAAUGGUUUCAAAGCAGAUUUUACUGCACCAGGAAAGAAGUCAAUAAUGAAAGGAUGUUGUUUGCUGAAAAUUUUAAAAGAAGCUGCCCAUGGAAACUUAACAAGAUAUAUCUCCUUUCUGUGAUAGAUGUAAUAGUGGAGAAGCUUCAUUAAUUCACAUGUUUUGGACAUGUCCGAGCCUUGAAAGACUGGAAGGAAGUACUCCAAACUUUCUCAGUACUUUACAAGAUGUGACCAAGACAACACUGGAGGACAGUGCUUUCAAGUGCAGUCGCUGCAGCCGAGAUUGUCACUCCCAUGUGGGACUCUACAGUCACAACAGACGCUGCUCUAACAUAGACUGAAGCAAGACUUUCCAGGCGCAGAUCCAUGGUCUCUCGAGACUAACAGAUGCCACCACAAAAUGUAAAGUUAGUGAAAUAGGUCUAUAACUGGAAGGAUCUGAUUGAUCCUGACCAGCUUUCAAUAUACAGGUAACAACCACUAAUUUCCAGGAAGCAGGAAGUCACUCUUCAACUCUUAUUCAAUUAAAG
Long non-coding RNA from Mobula hypostoma (lesser devil ray), 541 nucleotides. RefSeq lists it as uncharacterized. The record is from RefSeq and is a predicted model, not a curated record. NCBI's taxonomy places the organism in Eukaryota, Metazoa, Chordata, Chondrichthyes, Myliobatiformes, Myliobatidae. The transcript is spliced from 4 exons.